This 468-nucleotide ribosomal RNA is filed under the name uncultured bacterium. RNAcentral's name for it is "partial 16S ribosomal RNA". It matches the Rfam family "Bacterial small subunit ribosomal RNA", at positions 28 to 507 of the family's 1533-position model. The record is from RNAcentral.
GACGAACGCUGGCGGCGUGCUUAACACAUGCAAGUCGAACGGAAAGGCCCUGCUUUUGUGGGGUGCUCGAGUGGCGAACGGGUGAGUAACACGUGAGUAACCUGCCCUUGACUUUGGGAUAACUUCAGGAAACUGGGGCUAAUACCGGAUAGGAGCUCCUGCUGCAUGGUGGGGGUUGGAAAGUUUCGGCGGUUGGGGAUGGACUCGCGGCUUAUCAGCUUGUUGGUGGGGUAGUGGCUUACCAAGGCUUUGACGGGUAGCCGGCCUGAGAGGGUGACCGUCCACAUUGGGACUGAGAUACGGCUCAGACUCCUACGGGAGGCAGCAGUGGGGAAUAUUGCACAAUGGGCGGAAGCCUGAUGCAGCAACGCCGCGUGCGGGAUGACGGCCUUCGGGUUGUAAACCGCUUUCGCCUGUGACGAAGCGUGAGUGACGGUAAUGGGUAAAGAAGCACCGGCUAACUACGUG